CCUACGGUGCGCAGCAGUGGGGAAUAUUGGACAAUGGGCGAAAGCCUGAUCCAGCCAUGCCGCGUGUGUGAAGAAUGCCUUCGGGUUGUAAAGCACUUUCAGUGGGGAAGAAAGCCUUGGGGCUAAUACCCUCGAGGAAGGACAUCACCCACAGAAGAAGCACCGUCUAACUCCGUGCCAGCAGCCGCGGUAAUACGGAGGGUGCGAGCGUUAAUCGGAAUUACUGGGCGUAAAGCGCGCGUAGGCGGUCUGAUAAGCCGGUUGUGAAAGCCCCGGGCUCAACCUGGGAACGGCAUCCGGAACUGUCAGGCUAGAGUGCAGGAGAGGAAGGUAGAAUUCCCGGUGUAGCGGUGAAAUGCGUAGAGAUCGGGAGGAAUACCAGUGGCGAAGGCGGCCUGCUGGACUGACACUGACGCUGAGGUGCGAAAGCGUGGGUAGCAAACAGGAUUAGAUACCCCGGUAGUC
Molecule: ribosomal RNA, 465 nt
Filed under: Vreelandella stevensii
Lineage: Bacteria; Pseudomonadati; Pseudomonadota; Gammaproteobacteria; Oceanospirillales; Halomonadaceae
Description: partial 16S ribosomal RNA
Rfam family: Bacterial small subunit ribosomal RNA
Source: RNAcentral